GACGAACGCUGGCGGCGUGCUUAACACAUGCAAGUCGAACGGACAGACCCUGCUUUUGUGGCGUGCUCGAUUGGCGAACGGGUGAGUAACACGUGAGUAACAUGCCCUUGACUUUGGGAUAACUUCAGGAAACUGGGGCUCAUACCGCAUAGGAUCUCCUGCUGCAUGGGGGUGGUUGGAAAGUUUCGGCGGUUGUGGCUGGACUCGCGGCUUAUCAGCUUGUUGGUGGGGUAGUGGCUUACCAAGGCUUUGACGGGUAGCCGGCCUGAGAGCGUGACCGGGCACAUUGGGACUGAGGUAGGGACCAGUCGCCUAUGGGAGGCAGCGGUGGGGAAUAUUACACAGCGGCCGCAAGCCUGAGGCGGAAGCGCUGCGUGCGUGAUGCUGUCUUUCGAGUGGAAAACCGCUGUCGCCGGUGACGAAGCGUGAGUGACGGUAAUGGGUAAAGAAGCACCGGCUAACUACGUG
Molecule: ribosomal RNA, 468 nt
Filed under: uncultured bacterium
Lineage: Bacteria
Description: partial 16S ribosomal RNA
Rfam family: Bacterial small subunit ribosomal RNA
Source: RNAcentral